AGUGAACGCUGGCGGUAGGCCUAACACAUGCAAGUCGAACGGCAGCACAGAGGAGCUUGCUCCUUGGGUGGCGAGUGGCGGACGGGUGAGGAAUACAUCGGAAUCUACUCUGUCGUGGGGGAUAACGUAGGGAAACUUACGCUAAUACCGCAUACGACCUACGGGUGAAAGCAGGGGAUCUUCGGACCUUGCGCGAUUGAAUGAGCCGAUGUCGGAUUAGCUAGUUGGCGGGGUAAAGGCCCACCAAGGCGACGAUCCGUAGCUGGUCUGAGGAGAUGAUCAGCCACACUGGAGCUGAGACACGGUACAGACUCCUACGGGAGGCAGCAGUGGAGAAUAUUGGACAAUGGGCGCAAGCCUGAUCCAGCCAUACCGCGUGGGUGAAGAAGGCCUUCGGGUUGUAAAGCCCUUUUGUUGGGAAAGAAAUCCAUCUGGUUAAUACCCGGGUGGGAUGACGGUACCCAAAGAAUAAGCACCGGCUAACUUCGUGCCAGCCGCCGCAGUAA
This 506-nucleotide ribosomal RNA is filed under the name uncultured bacterium. Its description in RNAcentral is "partial 16S ribosomal RNA". It matches the Rfam family "Bacterial small subunit ribosomal RNA", at positions 29 to 523 of the family's 1533-position model. The record is from RNAcentral.